RNAcentral lists this ribosomal RNA (253 nucleotides) under uncultured bacterium. RNAcentral's name for it is "partial 16S ribosomal RNA". It matches the Rfam family "Bacterial small subunit ribosomal RNA", at positions 524 to 776 of the family's 1533-position model. The record is from RNAcentral.
UACGAAGGGGGCUAGCGUUGCUCGGAAUCACUGGGCGUAAAGGGUGCGUAGGCGGGUCUUUAAGUCAGGGGGGAAAUCCUGGAGCUCAACUCCAGAACUGCCUUUGAUACUGAGGAUCUUGAGUUCGGGAGAGGUGAGUGGAACUGCGAGUGUAGAGGUGAAAUUCGUAGAUAUUCGGAGGAACACCAGUGGCGAAGGCGGCUCACUGGCUCGGUACUGACGCUGAGGUGCGAAAGCGUGGGGAGCAAACAGG